GUUUCAGGGCGGAGUGAGAUUCUCCACCGGCGGUAAUGGGAGUUUUCCUUAGUCCGCGAGCAGAACAGCUUUUUAUAAGCUGUAGCAGAUCCGGUGUGAUUCCGGAACCGACGGUAUAGUCCGGAUGAAAGAAA
RNAcentral lists this non-coding RNA (134 nucleotides) under Massiliimalia timonensis. RNAcentral describes it as "FMN riboswitch (RFN element)". It matches the Rfam family "FMN riboswitch aptamer (RFN element)". From Rfam's summary of the family: The RFN element is a highly conserved domain that is found frequently in the 5'-untranslated regions of prokaryotic mRNAs that encode for flavin mononucleotide (FMN) biosynthesis and transport proteins. Lineage: Bacteria; Bacillati; Bacillota; Clostridia; Eubacteriales; Oscillospiraceae. The record is from RNAcentral. RNAcentral also lists the same sequence under 1 other name.